UACACAUCGCCCGUCACUCUCGCCUAGCUUAACUUAAGUAAGGGGAGAAAAGUCGUAACACAAUAGGCACACCGGAAGGUGUGCCUGGAAAAU
This 93-nucleotide ribosomal RNA is filed under the name Paracentrotus lividus (common urchin). RNAcentral's name for it is "partial 12S ribosomal RNA". The record is from RNAcentral. Lineage: Eukaryota; Metazoa; Echinodermata; Echinoidea; Camarodonta; Echinidae.